This 253-nucleotide ribosomal RNA is filed under the name uncultured bacterium. RNAcentral describes it as "partial 16S ribosomal RNA". It matches the Rfam family "Bacterial small subunit ribosomal RNA", at positions 524 to 776 of the family's 1533-position model. The record is from RNAcentral.
UACGUAGGCUGCGAGCGUUGCUCGGAGUUACUGGGCGUAAAGCGUGUGUAGGCGGUGUCUUAAGUUUGCUGUGAAAUUUCCCGGCUUAACCGGGAGGGUGCGGCGAAUACUGAGAUGCUGGAGUGCCGGAGAGGUAAGCGGAAUUCCUGGUGUAGCGGUGAAAUGCGUAGAUAUCAGGAGGAACACCUACGGUGUAGACGGCUUACUGGACGGUAACUGACGCUGAGGCACGAAAGCGUGGGUAGCAAACAGG